CAUCUGAUUCUGCUUUUUCUGUCCUAACUGGUAUGUUGCUUCGUCCUCAUCUUUGCCAUUUUCCAUUUGUAAGAAUCAAAUUAACUCUCCAACUGAACGUCCUUAUUUGACUGGAUCAAAUAUAUGCGCACUAGACAAGAAAAUCUGAUGGAUUCUGUGUGAAAUGAAGGGUCAAAUGACCUGAGGUGGACGUAACUGCGAGAUGCAAUAAACUUCUCGAAGAGAGACCAAGAAAUAGAGAGAGAAGGGGCGAGAAGAGAAAGAGGGGAAGAGCAACAACGGUGGAUUGCAGCCCGUCGAAAGGGUCGUGCUACGCCACAAAUCUCCAUUUUCGAACACUAGACAAGGUUGUUCUAGCUCUAUUCCUCACGAG
RNAcentral lists this long non-coding RNA (373 nucleotides) under Eucalyptus grandis. RNAcentral's name for it is "long non-coding RNA (EGRA_LNC003557)". The record is from RNAcentral. Lineage: Eukaryota; Viridiplantae; Streptophyta; Magnoliopsida; Myrtales; Myrtaceae.